GAUGAACGCUGGCGGCGUGCCUAAUACAUGCAAGUCGAGCGAACAGACGAGGAGCUUGCUCCUCUCACGUUAGCGGCGGACGGGUGAGUAACACGUGGAUAACCUACCUAUAAGACUGGGAUAACUUCGGGAAACCGGAGCUAAUACCGGAUAAUAUAUUGAACCGCAUGGUUCAAUAGUGAAAGACGGUUUUGCUGUCACUUAUAGAUGGAUCCGCGCCGCAUUAGCUAGUUGGUAAGGUAACGGCUUACCAAGGGAACGAUGCGUAGCCGAACUGAGAGGCGGAUAGGCCACACUGGAACUGAGACACGGUCCAGGCUCCUACGGGAGGCAGCAGUAGGGAACCUGCCGCAAAGGUCGAAAGCCUGACGGAGCAAGGCCGCGUGAGUGAUAAAGGUCUUCGGAUCGUAAUACUCUGUUAUUAGGGAAGAACAAAUGUGUAAGUAACUAUGCACGUCUUGACGGUACCUAAUCAGAAAGCCACGGCUAACUACGUG
RNAcentral lists this ribosomal RNA (497 nucleotides) under uncultured bacterium. Its description in RNAcentral is "partial 16S ribosomal RNA". It matches the Rfam family "Bacterial small subunit ribosomal RNA", at positions 28 to 507 of the family's 1533-position model. The record is from RNAcentral.